Non-coding RNA from Pelobates cultripes (western spadefoot toad), 292 nucleotides. Lineage: Eukaryota; Metazoa; Chordata; Amphibia; Anura; Pelobatidae. The record is from the annotation of a GenBank genome assembly.
CAUGGGGAAAGCUUAGAGGACUCUGCAUUCUGGGAAGGAAAAGGGGUAAACAUAUACACCAGGUCCCAACUAGGACCCCUGAAAAUAACGGGGCUAUCGGAUGUACAGAGCCCGAGAAAACAUUGUAUAAAGUCUGGGCUCGGGGUUCUGUACAUCCCCGCAAUUAGUUCCACGCAGUUGCUUGGUUUAGUCCGGUGGAUUCAAACUUCGCACCAAUAGGCACUCAGGGAGGGGAGGCGUUCCGCUAGCCAAUCAGGGAAAAAGGCGCAAAACCAAAGUGCGCCAAUCAGCG